RNAcentral lists this non-coding RNA (27 nucleotides) under Mus musculus (house mouse). The record is from RNAcentral. Lineage: Eukaryota; Metazoa; Chordata; Mammalia; Rodentia; Muridae.
UAUGAGCUUUGAAGACAACAUAAAGAG